Molecule: transfer RNA, 71 nt
Filed under: Fukomys damarensis (Damara mole-rat)
Lineage: Eukaryota; Metazoa; Chordata; Mammalia; Rodentia; Bathyergidae
Rfam family: tRNA
About the family: Transfer RNA (tRNA) molecules are approximately 80 nucleotides in length. Their secondary structure includes four short double-helical elements and three loops (D, anti-codon, and T loops).
Source: Rfam by way of RNAcentral
GGUGGUGUAGCUCAGUGGUAGAGUGCUUGCCUAGUAUGCGUGAGUCCUUGGUUUGAUCCCCAGAGUUGCCA